This 916-nucleotide ribosomal RNA is filed under the name uncultured bacterium. RNAcentral describes it as "bacterial SSU rRNA". It matches the Rfam family "Bacterial small subunit ribosomal RNA", at positions 246 to 1155 of the family's 1533-position model. The record is from RNAcentral.
UUGUUGGUGAGGUAAAAGCUUACCAAGGCUUCGAUCAGUAGCUGGUCUGAGAGGACGGCCAGCCACACUGGGACUGAGACACGGCCCAGACUCCUACGGGAGGCAGCAGUGGGGAAUUUUGGACAAUGGGGGCAACCCUGAUCCAGCCAUGCCGCGUGAGUGAAGAAGGCRUUCGGGUUGUAAAGCUCUUUCAGCCGGAACGAAACGGUUACGGUUAAUACCCGUGACUACUGACGGUACCGGAAGAAGAAGCACCGGCUAACUACGUGCCAGCAGCCGCGGUAAUACGUAGGGUGCAAGCGUUAAUCGGAAUUACUGGGCGUAAAGCGUGCGCAGGUGGUUUUGUAAGUCAGAUGUGAAAUCCCCGGGCUUAACCUGGGAACUGCGUUUGAAACUACAAGGCUAGAGUGUGGCAGAGGGGGGUGGAAUUCCGCGUGUAGCAGUGAAAUGCGUAGAUAUGUGGAGGAACACCGAUGGCGAAGGCAGCCCCCUGGGUCAACACUGACGCUCAGGCACGAAAGCAUGGGGAGCAAACAGGAUUAGAUACCCUGGUAGUCCAUGCCCUAAACGAUGUCAACUAGUUGUCGGGCCUUAACGGGCUUGGUAACGUAGCUAACGCGUGAAGUUGACCGCCUGGGGAGUACGAUCGCAAGAUUAAAACUCAAAGGAAUUGACGGGGACCCGCACAAGCGGUGGAUUAUGUGGAUUAAUUCGAUGCAACGCGAAAAACCUUACCUACCCUUGACAUGUAUCGAAGCCCGCAGAGAAGCGGGUGUGCCCGAAAGGGAACGAUAACACAGGUGCUGCGUGGCUGUCGUCAGCUCGUGUCGUGAGAUGUUGGGUUAAGUCCCGCAACGAGCGCAACCCUUGUCAUUAAUUGCCAUCAUUUAGUUGGGCACUUUAAUGAGACUGCCGG